Molecule: non-coding RNA, 477 nt
Organism: Parasteatoda tepidariorum (common house spider)
Lineage: Eukaryota; Metazoa; Arthropoda; Arachnida; Araneae; Theridiidae
Source: RefSeq, a predicted model, not a curated record
AGUGUUUCUUGGCUGCCCUGCUCUUCAACUUCAAUUAUCCUUGAAAAGGGCGACCGUUGGCUUUUAAAAGGGUAAAAGGGAUAUUUUUCAAGGCCGUUUUCUUAUUACGGGGGUAAAAGGAUGCAAAAAGGGCCGUUGAACUUUGGACCCCUAUUUUACCCUCCGACACCCCUCGACAUCCCGGGAGCAGGGGGUAGUUUCGGGCAAGUUCAAAUUUUUAGAGAGGGGGAAUUAGACAGAUAUGAGCUCCUCACUCAAUGAAAGGAUAUUUUUAUUUUUUGGUGGAAAUAAAAAGAUAAAAUUUGUAAUUCUGUUCGAUAGAAAGCGUUACGGCGAUUUAUAGAAGAUGCUGAAGAAGCAAAACACCUCAAUCACAGAUACUUCAUUUUAUGCCUGUGAAAUAAAAAACAGAUGUUAUCAACAGAUGUAAAAAUGAAUACAAGCUUGCAAAGAAUAAAGAGAAAUGCUCUCUCAUUA